Long non-coding RNA from Actinia tenebrosa (Australian red waratah sea anemone), 595 nucleotides. RefSeq lists it as uncharacterized. The record is from RefSeq and is a predicted model, not a curated record. NCBI's taxonomy places the organism in Eukaryota, Metazoa, Cnidaria, Anthozoa, Actiniaria, Actiniidae.
UUGUAUUCUGCACACCGACGAAUAAUAUACGGUGUGGAAAGAAGACAUCAACGUUGAAAAUUCAGAUAUUUAAAGCGUUGCUCUUGAACAUCAUUUUAUCGAUUUUGCUACCGAAAUCACUGAGCUACUACGAGGGAGCUACUACUGUUCAAGAAAAUCAAGAUGAACUCUGCAAUACCACUUCUAGCUGUACUGUUAGUGACAAUGGUCACGCAAACCAUUCUGGCACAUCCUGCUAAAAGUGAUGAUUUUGAGUACACUUCUGACGACUGCCCUCCAGGAGUCUGGGUUUGUCGCAAAAAACGUGCUGAAAUCCCCAUUAAAGCCGAGUCAGCCAGAAGUCCUGGCUCAUCGGCAAAGUAUCUACAUGAAACAUGAGAAUUUAGAAAAACUAUUUAAACGUUUAAAUGAUUUUGCUCUGAGAUCAAGUAAAAUUUGAUCGUAACAGCGUAAUCGAUAAUUCAAUUCAACCUUUUAAGCUUGAAUUAAAAUUUGUCUACUGUAUGAGUAACGAAGAAAAGUAACCACUAUCAUAUAGCUGCUAGUGUUUGUUUAAAUAAAAGUUUAAUUAAAAGUUUAAAUAAAGAAUGGACGA